Molecule: long non-coding RNA, 1019 nt
Filed under: Pan troglodytes (chimpanzee)
Lineage: Eukaryota; Metazoa; Chordata; Mammalia; Primates; Hominidae
Description: lncRNA (ENSPTRG00000053421.1)
Source: RNAcentral
UAUGAUGACCGGAGACACAGCUGUUGGAGGAAAAAAGUUUAUGUCAAUUAAAAUCCUGAAUUUCUCUGAUCUGGAAAGAAAAACUGCUAUGAACUCUUUAGCUCAACUUCUUGAUGAAAACAACAAACCCAGUGAAAAUAACUGAAAGACUGGAAUUCAGAUGGCCAGAGUGGAGCAACCAUUUCAACACCCAAGAUAUUUGCUAAAGACUACAAAAGCCUUGACAUCCUUCAUGCCACACCACUUUAUCAGUAAACCCUCCAGGAUGGAACUAUUUACUGAAAUGCCAGUACUCCCCCUCAUUUUUUAAACUACAUGACCUGUUCAGUGCUGUCUGUUCUGGAAUGAAAGGCCAAUAUCCAAGUGUUCAGAAAGACCCGGGAGAUGGGACAAAGAGGAUGAAGCUUGGGCUGGAAGGCGACUCUGGGAACGGCUCAUAAAGAUGUCCCACAGAAUGACUGAGGCUUUGUUUCAUGAAUAGGUGUCUCCAUUCGGCCUUGAUGGCUAACCAGCCAACUGAACAAGUGUAAAGGGCCCAAGAAAGGCCCGUAAAACCCAUGACAUGAAAGAACAAUUUAGGAAAAUAACAACUAAGGUAAAAAUAUCAUUUUUAUUGCAUAAAUUGCAUGAGGAGUUGUGAAAUUAAAACCAUUUAUUUAUAAAAGUUAUUUCCUCAAAAAAUAAAUAAUAUUAGGUAUAUCUCCUAAUGCUAUCCCUCCCCCGCCCCACCCCACAACAGGCCCCAGUGUGUGAUGUUCCCCUUCCUGUGUCCAUGUGUUCUCAUUGUUCAAUUCCCACCUAUGAGUGAGAACAUGCGGUGUUACACCUAAUGUUAAAUGACGAGUUAAUGGGUGCAGCACACCAACAUGGCACAUGUAUACAUAUGUAACAAACUUGCACAUUGUGCACAUGUACCCUAAAACUCAAAAUAUAAUAAAAAGAUAAAUAAUAUUCAAGGUAUGUGGAUCACUUUUCCAUUUAUUUGACAAAUAACUACUUGUCACCGACUGUGAGUGGGG